RNAcentral lists this long non-coding RNA (1585 nucleotides) under Gallus gallus (chicken). Lineage: Eukaryota; Metazoa; Chordata; Aves; Galliformes; Phasianidae. The record is from RNAcentral.
CAGAAGUCAGAUGUUGGAAACAGCAGAGAUGUAAUUUUCAAAUAAAUAAGCGUGCCUAAACCUGGAAAUGUUGCACGGCCUUUGACUUCAAUUACUUCUUCCAUCUCAUGUGCAGCGUCUCGAAGGACAAACUUAAUAUUGCCACUGGCUGCUUCAGGAAACAUCUGGCAAAGAUUGUACAAUGGCAGGAUGAGUUUGUCAAUUGUUUUGAGCUCUGGUAAAUCCAGAGUUGCUAACUCUCCAAUAUAUUCCAGAAUGAAGCCAAACAGUUUUUCCAACUUUGUUUUGUUUCCCACUGCAAGACUUGGGUGAUUGCAUUUCUGAAUCCUCUCCAGUAUAGUAAGCUGUUGCUCUACUGUUCUUCCAGCCAAUAAAGAUUUAAAUUUCUCAUAGGACUCAGGAACCGCAAAUGUAUAUGGAAGCUCUGAUUUGGCAGCUUCCAUUUUUGGAUCCAGUUCCUCCACAUUCUGUGAUUCAUUUUCAUUUGCCUUGUGUUUCUUUUGUUCUUUAUUUCCUGCAGCUUCUUCUUCACUCUCAAGGUCAGACUCGAGAUCCGAGUGGUUAUCUGAUGCAACAUCCUCCUCAUCUUCAGUAGCAGAUUCUUCCUCACCUUCUUCAUUCUCAUUAUCUUCCUUCUCACCUUCCUCUUCUUCCUGUUCCUCUUCCUCUUCUUUGUCCUCCUCCUCUUCUUUGUCCUCCUCCUCCUCCACAUUUUCAAUGUUCAUUUUUCCAUCCUUGUAAGACAAUAAACGUCUGUCGUCUUUAUCCAGGAUAAAGCCAUCAGUUAGAUCAUCAGCUGACACGUGGCUGGGUUUCUUUUUAUUCUCUUGUUCACCUAUUCCACGCAUUCGACGUAGUCGAUCUGCCUCUAGCUUCUGGAGUCGCGCCUCCUCCUCUUUUGCCAAUUCUUCUUCUGUCUUCAUCCUUUCUGAAGGUUUUGCUUUCAUCUCGAAUCCAAGUUCUCGAACAAUCAUAUCAUAUUCAUCAGGCUUGGGUUUUUCUGCCUCUUUGUCCUUUCUUUCUGACUUUGGAGGUUUGCGGGCCAUAAGGGUUUGGAUUUCCUUCCAGUCAUUGUCAAGCUUUUCAGUAAGUUCUAAAGCACUUUCUCUCCGACUUUGCCUUUCUUGCUUUUCUUGUUUAGAUUUGGCUAUCAACUCUUCUAUGAGUUCCUUCCUAGAUUUAGGUUUUUCCUCCUCUUCAUCUUCCUGCUCAGUUGACGCUUUUUUACGAAGAAGGCCUCCACCCCCUCCAAAGUGAGCAGCAGUUAACUCAGCUGACAAUGCUCCUCUUUCAUCUGUGUCACUAUCGCUAUCAAUAACAUCAUUCAGUUUUUCAAUUUCUGCCAAAGAUUGGCCAAAAUGAGUUAAUUCUUCAUCUUCGUUGAGAUUAUAGAUAUUUUUCUUUCCAUAAUUUUGCUGUCUUUCCAAAGUGAAUCGUUUUAUCAUCUUUUCCUCUGGACUUAUUUUGGUGUUAUAUUCACCAAAACGUUUAUCUCUAAAUACAUUUGUCUUUUCUUUUUCUUUAUAUUCUUUCAAUAACGUUUGUGUUCGCUUCUUGAUAGCCUUGGACCGUGACACACCAGGCA